This 1057-nucleotide ribosomal RNA is filed under the name fungal sp. ARIZ AZ0676B. RNAcentral describes it as "eukaryotic LSU rRNA". The stretch from base 471 to 1057 matches the Rfam family "Eukaryotic large subunit ribosomal RNA", at positions 1 to 592 of the family's 3401-position model. Lineage: Eukaryota; Fungi. The record is from RNAcentral.
AUUACCGAGUACCGGGCCAUCGAGCCCGCACUCCAACCCUGUGCGCACGUAACCUUCGUUGCUUUGGCGGGUCCGACCGAGACAGGCUGGCCCGCCACAGGAAGCCCAAACUCUUGCUAUUUCGGCUGCAGUCUGAGCGAAUAUCGAAUAUUCUAAAAACUUUCAACAACGGAUCUCUUGGUUCCGGCAUCGAUGAAGAACGCAGCGAAAUGCGAUAAGUAAUGUGAAUUGCAGAAUUCAGUGAAUCAUCGAAUCUUUGAACGCACAUUGCGCCCCUUGGUAUUCCGAGGGGCAUGCCUGUUCGAGCGUCAUUGCAAACCUCAAGCUCCGCUUGGUGUUGGGCCUCGUCCGCGACGGACGUGCCUCAAAGCCAUCGGCGGCGUCGUCUCGGCCUCAAGCGUAGUAGAAUCUUCUCGCUUUGGAGGACGAGGCGCCGUCUGCCGGGCGACGACCCCUCACAUCGCACAGUUUGACCUCGGAUCAGGUAGGGAUACCCGCUGAACUUAAGCAUAUCAAUAAGCGGAGGAAAAGAAACCAACAGGGAUUGCCUCAGUAACGGCGAGUGAAGCGGCAACAGCUCAAAUUUGAAAUCUGACCCCCUUGGGGUCCGAGUUGUAAUUUGCAGAGGAUGCUUCGGCGAGAGCUCCGGUCUAAGUUCCUUGGAACAGGACGUCACAGAGGGUGAGAAUCCCGUACGUGACCGGCCGCUCGAGCCAUGUGAAGCUCCUUCGACGAGUCGAGUUGUUUGGGAAUGCAGCUCUAAAUGGGAGGUAAAUUUCUUCUAAAGCUAAAUAUUGGCCGGAGACCGAUAGCGCACAAGUAGAGUGAUCGAAAGAUGAAAAGCACUUUGGAAAGAGAGUUAAAAAGUACGUGAAAUUGUUGAAAGGGAAGCGCUUGCAACCAGACUUGCCCGCAGUUGCUCAUCCGUCCUUCUGGGCGGUGCACUCUUCUGCGGUCAGGCCAGCAUCAGUUCGGGCGGCUGGACAAAGGCCUCGGGAAUGUAGCUCUCUUCGGGGAGUGUUAUAGCCUGGGGCGGAAUGCAGCCUGCCUGGACUGA